GGUUAAAACUCAAAUGAAUUGACGGGGGCCCGCACAAGCGGUGGAGCAUGUGGUUUAAUUCGAUGCAACGCGAAGACCUUUACCUGGUCUUGACAUCCAUAGAAUUCUGCAGAGAUGUGGGAGUCCCUUCGGGAAUUAUGAGACAGGUGCUGCAUGGCUGUCGUCAGCUCGUGUUGUGAAAUGUUGGGUUAAGUCCCGCAACGAGCGCAACCCUUAUUCUUUGUUGCCAGCGAUUUGGUCGGGAACUCAAAGGAGACUGCCGUUGAUAAAGCGGAGGAAGGUGGGGACGACGUCAAGUCAUCAUGGCCCUUACGACCAGGGCUACACACGUGCUACAAUGGCGUAUACAAAGGGAAGCGAAGGUGCGAGCUGGAGCGGAUCUCAUAAAGUACGUCUAAGUUCGGAUUGGAGUCUGCAACUCGACUCCAUGAAGUCGGAAUCGCUAGUAAUCGUAGAUCAGAAUGCUACGGUGAAUACGUUCCCGGGCCUUGUACACACCGCCCGUCACACCAUGGGAGUGGGUUGCACCAGAAGUAGAUAGCUUAACCGCGAGGGGGGCGUUUACCACGGUGUGAUUCAUGACUGGGGUGAAGUCGUAACAAGGUAACCA
RNAcentral lists this ribosomal RNA (610 nucleotides) under uncultured Enterobacteriaceae bacterium. Its description in RNAcentral is "bacterial SSU rRNA". It matches the Rfam family "Bacterial small subunit ribosomal RNA", at positions 892 to 1502 of the family's 1533-position model. The record is from RNAcentral. Lineage: Bacteria; Pseudomonadati; Pseudomonadota; Gammaproteobacteria; Enterobacterales; Enterobacteriaceae.